RNAcentral lists this RNase P RNA (379 nucleotides) under Leucobacter exalbidus. RNAcentral describes it as "Leucobacter sp. K-540B Bacterial RNase P class A". It matches the Rfam family "Bacterial RNase P class A". Rfam says of the family: Ribonuclease P (RNase P) is a ubiquitous endoribonuclease, found in archaea, bacteria and eukarya as well as chloroplasts and mitochondria. Its best characterised activity is the generation of mature 5'-ends of tRNAs by cleaving the 5'-leader elements of precursor-tRNAs. Cellular RNase Ps are ribonucleoproteins. Lineage: Bacteria; Bacillati; Actinomycetota; Actinomycetes; Micrococcales; Microbacteriaceae. The record is from Rfam by way of RNAcentral.
UGGGUUGGUGAGGCGGCCGCGUCGCGGCACGUAAGUGUUCGCGCCGAGGAACGUCCGGGCUCCACAGGGGAGAAUGGUGGGUAACACCCACCCGGGGUAACCCGCGAGAAAGUGCAACAGAGAGUAGACCGCCUGCCGCAGCUUGCUGCGGUCGGUAAGGCUGAAAGGGUGGUGUAAGAGACCACCGGCGCACGUGGUAACACGAGCGGCCAGGUAAACCUCGUUCGGAGCAAGACCAGACAGAGGAUGAUGACGCGCCCCGCCGAGUCCUCGGGUAGGUUGCUAGAGAGUGCCGGUAACGGUAAUCCGAGAUAGAUGACCGCCACCCUGAGCGUUAAACCUUGGGGGACAGAACCCGGCGUAUGAUCUGGCCCAUUCC